UGGGGAAUAUUGCACAAUGGGGGAAACCCUGAUGCAGCGACGCCGCGUGAGCGAUGAAGGCUUUCGAGUCGUAAAGCUCUGUCCUAUGGGAAGAUAAUGACGGUACCAUAGAAGAAAGCCCCGGCUAAUUACGUGCCAGCAGCCGCGGUAAUACGUAAGGGGCGAGCGUUGUCCGGAAUUAUUGGGCGUAAAGAGUGCGUAGGCGGCAAAUUAAGCCUGAUGUGAAAGCCCCCGGCUCAACCGGGGAGGGUCAUUGGAAACUGGUUGACUUGAGUGCAGAAGAGGAGAGUGGAAUUCCAUGUGUAGCGGUGAAAUGCGUAGAUAUAUGGAGGAACACCAGUGGCGAAGGCGACUCUCUGGUCUGUAACUGACGCUGAGGCUCGAAAGCGUGGGUAGCAAACAGG
This 404-nucleotide ribosomal RNA is filed under the name Bacteroidota bacterium. RNAcentral describes it as "Bacteroidetes bacterium partial 16S ribosomal RNA". It matches the Rfam family "Bacterial small subunit ribosomal RNA", at positions 355 to 776 of the family's 1533-position model. Lineage: Bacteria; Pseudomonadati; Bacteroidota. The record is from RNAcentral.